CCCUACGGGGUGCAGCAGGCGCGAAACCUUUACAAUGCACGAAAGUGUGAUAAGGGAACCCCAAGUGCUCAUGUAUGACAUGGGCUUUUGCCAAGUGUAAAUAGCUUGGAGAAUAAGUGGUGGGUAAGGCUGGUGCCAGCAGCCGCGGUAACACCAGCGCCACGAGUGGGAACCACAUUUAUUGGGCUUAAAGCGUCCGUAGCUGGUCUUGUAAAUCUCUUGUGAAAUCAUCCGGCUCAACCGGAUGGCGUGCAGGAGACACUGCAAGACUCGAGACCGGGAGGAGCUAGGGGUAUUCUAGGGGGAGCGGUAAAAUGCAAUAAUCCCUAGAGGACCACCUGUGGCGAAGGCGCCUAGCUAGAACGGUUCUGACAGUGAGGGACGAAAGCUAGGGGAGCGAUCCGGAUUAGAUACCCGAGUAGUCCUAGCCGUAAACGCUGCGAGCAAGGCGUUGCGUGUUCCACGAGAAUACGCAGUGUCGAAGAGAAAUCGUUAAGCUCGCCGCCUGGGAAGUAUGGUCGCAAGACUGAAACUUAAAGGAAUUGGCGGGGGAGCAC
Molecule: ribosomal RNA, 557 nt
Filed under: uncultured archaeon
Lineage: Archaea
Description: bacterial SSU rRNA
Rfam family: Archaeal small subunit ribosomal RNA
Source: RNAcentral